RNAcentral lists this ribosomal RNA (253 nucleotides) under uncultured bacterium. RNAcentral describes it as "partial 16S ribosomal RNA". It matches the Rfam family "Bacterial small subunit ribosomal RNA", at positions 524 to 776 of the family's 1533-position model. The record is from RNAcentral.
UACGUAGGGGGCUAGCGUUGUUCGGAAUCACUGGGCGUAAAGGGCGCGUAGGCGGCUUUAUAAGUCGGGGGUGAAAGCCUGUGGCUCAACCACAGAAUUGCCUUCGAUACUGUAGAGCUUGAGACCGGAAGAGGUAAGUGGAACUGCGAGUGUAGAGGUGAAAUUCGUAGAUAUUCGGAGGAAUACCAGUGGCGAAGGCGGCUCACUGGUCCAUUACUGACGCUGAGGUGCGAAAGCGUGGGGAGCAAACAGG